UCCGGAUUAACUCCGGCAGUUUCCUUAGAGUUCUCAGCUUGACCUGUUAGCAACAAAGGAUGAGGGUUGCGCUCGUUGCGGGACUUAACCCAACAUCUCACGACACGAGCUGACGACAGCCAUGCAGCACCUGUGCUCCUCCCACCCGAAGUGAAGAAACGAGUCUCCUCGUCUCAUAGAGGGCAUGUCAAGGCCUGGUAAGGUUCUUCGCGUUGCCUCGAAUUAAACCACAUGUUCCACCGCUUGUGCGGGUCCCCGUCAAUUUCUUUGAGUUUUAAUCUUGCGACCGUACUCCCCAGGCGGGGUGCUUAACGCGUUAACUACGCCACUGGCCCGCCAAAACUGAAAGACUAUUUCAAUUUUGGUAGGCCAACGGCUAGCACCCAUCGUUUAUGGCGUG
This 400-nucleotide unclassified non-coding RNA is filed under the name uncultured Rickettsiales bacterium. RNAcentral's name for it is "contains 16S-23S intergenic spacer region". The record is from RNAcentral. Lineage: Bacteria; Pseudomonadati; Pseudomonadota; Alphaproteobacteria; Rickettsiales.